AUGGUAGAGAUCAUACCGAGAAAGAGGAUAAUUCCGUACGGGUACAACUCUUAUUUGAACAAAGUGCAAAAAAUGCGAUCUUUUUUUUCUCAUAGAACAAACACUAAUACCUUAAUUGAGUCGGUAAAGAUCAAAUAUGUUUAUCAAAGUGCUUCUCUGAUUGCUCAAGACAUCUCUUUUCAACUGAGGAACAAUCCAAUCUCAUUUCGUUCAAUUUUUAGUAAAAUAGUGAAGGAUAUUCCAUUAAUAAUGCCAAAAGGGGUGGAGGGGAUACGUAUUUGUUACUCUGCUCGAUUAGGGGGUGCAGAAAUAGCUAGAACUGAAUGCGGAAAGUAUGGAAAAACAUCUUGUAAUGUAUUUAACCAAAAAAUCGAUUAUGCUCCUGCGGAAGUAUCUACUCAUAACGGAAUUUCAGGUGUCAAAGUGCGGAUCUCAUAUAGUCAAAAUAAGAAGGGACUUGUUAUAUCCGAAACGUAUGAAAUAUAG
This 486-nucleotide ribosomal RNA is filed under the name Triticum aestivum (bread wheat). RNAcentral describes it as "partial small subunit ribosomal RNA". Lineage: Eukaryota; Viridiplantae; Streptophyta; Magnoliopsida; Poales; Poaceae. The record is from RNAcentral.